RNAcentral lists this ribosomal RNA (429 nucleotides) under Chloroflexota bacterium. RNAcentral describes it as "Chloroflexi bacterium partial 16S ribosomal RNA". It matches the Rfam family "Bacterial small subunit ribosomal RNA", at positions 355 to 776 of the family's 1533-position model. The record is from RNAcentral. Lineage: Bacteria; Bacillati; Chloroflexota.
UGGGGAAUAUUGCACAAUGGGCGCAAGCCUGAUGCAGCCAUGCCGCGUGUGUGAAGAAGGCCUUCGGGUUGUAAAGCACUUUCAGCGGGGAGGAAGGCGUUAAGGUUAAUAACCUUGGCGAUUGACGUUACCCGCAGAAGAAGCACCGGCUAACUCCGUGCCAGCAGCCGCGGUAAUACGGAGGGUGCAAGCGUUAAUCGGAAUUACUGGGCGUAAAGCGCACGCAGGCGGUCUGUCAAGUCGGAUGUGAAAUCCCCGGGCUCAACCUGGGAACUGCAUUCGAAAAUGGCAGGCUAGAGUCUUGUAGAGGGGGGUAGAAUUCCAGGUGUAGCGGUGAAAUGCGGAGAGAUCUGGAGGAAUACCGGUGGCGAAGGCGGCCCCCUGGACAAAGACUGAAGCUCAGGUGCGAAAGCGUGGGGAGCAAACAGG